RNAcentral lists this transfer RNA (60 nucleotides) under Pyura mirabilis. RNAcentral describes it as "tRNA-His". Lineage: Eukaryota; Metazoa; Chordata; Ascidiacea; Stolidobranchia; Pyuridae. The record is from RNAcentral.
UACAAAAUAGUUUAUAUGAAAACAGAGGUUUGUGGGGCUUAAGAAAUAUUAUUUUUGUAA